AUGCUGCACUUCAGCCAUCCGGUGGUGCACCCCUCCCCGCCGGCGCAGGGGCAGGGGCAGGGGCAGACGGAGGUGGAGAUGGUGCCGCCGGCGCAGGGGCAGGCGGUGCAGGGGGAGGGGGCGAACGGGGACGGGAACGCGCCUGCUGGGGUGAUCAUGAGGGGCCCCUGGACGCGGUGCAGCCUCGUCUUCCGCCUCCUGCAGGCCGCCUUCGCGGCCACCUCGCUCGCCGUCAUGGCGUCCACCGACGACUUCUCCUCCGUCACCACAUUCCGCUACCUCGUAGCAGCAGCAAUCGUGCAAUGCCUGUGGAGCCUCGCCGUGGCCAUUCUGGAUGCCUAUGCAAUUGUUGUCAAACGUUCCUUCCGAACUGCCCGGGCUGUCAUCAUACUUGCCCUCGGGGACUGGGUCAGAGGAACACUGAUCUUCAGUGCAGCUUGUGGAUCACCACUCUCCUUUCCAAUGAUUUCGGAGCUUGCUCGGUAA
This 486-nucleotide ribosomal RNA is filed under the name Triticum aestivum (bread wheat). RNAcentral describes it as "partial small subunit ribosomal RNA". Lineage: Eukaryota; Viridiplantae; Streptophyta; Magnoliopsida; Poales; Poaceae. The record is from RNAcentral.